UCUCUUUUUGUAUUUCCCUAUCUUCCCUUUGUCUUAACUUUUAAAGGGCCAGACUCUCUGUACGUCAUCAGUCGAUGACCCAAUAGAAGCACUAGAGGUGUGGUUAUCUUCCAGAUCGCAAAUUAGUUAUUUGGUCUGUAGAGGGCAGUCUUGUCCCACUAAACAUACCUAUCCAGGAAAGAGUUAACUUUUCCUGGUGGCUAUUUUGACGUCAUUUUGCGU
Molecule: non-coding RNA, 222 nt
Organism: Pelobates cultripes (western spadefoot toad)
Lineage: Eukaryota; Metazoa; Chordata; Amphibia; Anura; Pelobatidae
Source: the annotation of a GenBank genome assembly